This 673-nucleotide ribosomal RNA is filed under the name unidentified bacterium SB22/GOBB3-111. RNAcentral describes it as "bacterial SSU rRNA". It matches the Rfam family "Bacterial small subunit ribosomal RNA", at positions 53 to 699 of the family's 1533-position model. The record is from RNAcentral.
ACAUGCAAGUCGAGCGCAGGAAAUCGACGGAACCCUUCGGGGGGAAGUCGANGGAAUGAGCGGCGGACGGGUGAGUAACACGUAAAGAACCUGCCCUCAGGUCUGGGAUAACCACGAGAAAUCGGGGCUAAUACCGGAUGGGUCAUCGGACCGCAUGGUCCGAGGAUGAAAGGCGCUUCGGCGUCGCCUGGGGAUGGCUUUGCGGUGCUUAGCUAGUUGGUGGGGUAAUGGCCCACCAAGGCGACGAUGCAUAGCCGACCUGAGAGGGUGAUCGGCCACACUGGGACUGAGACACGGCCCAGACUCCUACGGGAGGCAGCAGUAGGGAAUCUUCCACAAUGGACGAAAGUCUGAUGGAGCAACGCCGCGUGAACGAUGAAGGCCUUCGGGUCGUAAAGUUCUGUUGUAAGGGAAGAACAAGUGCCGCAGGCAAUGGCGGCACCUUGACGGUACCUUGCGAGAAGCCACGGCUAACUACGUGCCAGCAGCCGCGGUAAUACGUAGGUGGCAAGCGUUGUCCGGAAUUAUUGGGCGUAAAGCGCGCGCAGGCGGCCUCUUAAGUCUGAUGUGAAAGCCCCCGGCUCAACCGGGGAGGGCCAUUGGAAACUGGGAGGCUUGAGUAUAGGAGAGAAGAGUGGAAUUCCACGUGUAGCGGUGAAAUGCGUAGAGAUGU